RNAcentral lists this ribosomal RNA (1115 nucleotides) under Actinomycetota bacterium. Its description in RNAcentral is "bacterial SSU rRNA". It matches the Rfam family "Bacterial small subunit ribosomal RNA", at positions 35 to 1141 of the family's 1533-position model. Lineage: Bacteria; Bacillati; Actinomycetota. The record is from RNAcentral.
GNUGGCGGCUGCUAUACUGCAGUCGAGCGGACUUGCUGGAGCUUGCUCCAGCAGGUUAGCGGCGGACGGGUGAGUAACACGUGGGCAACCUGCCUGUAAGACUGGGAUAACUCCGGGAAACCGGAGCUAAUACCGGAUAGUAUCUUGAACCGCAUGGUUCAAGUUGGAAAGACGGUUUCGGCUGUCACUUACAGAUGGGCCCGCGGCGCAUUAGCUAGUUGGUGAGGUAAUGGCUCACCAAGGCAACGAUGCGUAGCCGACCUGAGAGGGUGAUCGGCCACACUGGGACUGAGACACGGCCCAGACUCCUACGGGAGGCAGCAGUAGGGAAUCUUCCGCAAUGGACGAAAGUCUGACGGAGCAACGCCGCGUGAGUGAUGAAGGUUUUCGGAUCGUAAAACUCUGUUGUUAGGGAAGAACAAGUGCGAGAGUAACUGCUCGCACCUUGACGGUACCUAACCAGAAAGCCACGGCUAACUACGUGCCAGCAGCCGCGGUAAUACGUAGGUGGCAAGCGUUGUCCGGAAUUAUUGGGCGUAAAGCGCGCGCAGGCGGUUUCUUAAGUCUGAUGUGAAAGCCCCCGGCUCAACCGGGGAGGGUCAUUGGAAACUGGGAAACUUGAGUGCAGAAGAGGAGAGUGGAAUUCCACGUGUAGCGGUGAAAUGCGUAGAGAUGUGGAGGAACACCAGUGGCGAAGGCGACUCUCUGGUCUGUAACUGACGCUGAGGCGCGAAAGCGUGGGGAGCGAACAGGAUUAGAUACCCUGGUAGUCCACGCCGUAAACGAUGAGUGCUAAGUGUUAGAGGGUUUCCGCCCUUUAGUGCUGCAGCUAACGCAUUAAGCACUCCGCCUGGGGAGUACGGUCGCAAGACUGAAACUCAAAGGAAUUGACGGGGGCCCGCACAAGCGGUGGAGCAUGUGGUUUAAUUCGAAGCACGCGAAGACCUUACCAGGUCUUGACAUCCUUUGCCACUUCUAGAGAUAGAGGUUCCCCUUCGGGGACAAAGUGACAGGUUGGUGCAUGGUUGUCGUCAGCUCGUGUCGUGAGAUGUUGGGUUAGUCCCGCAACGAGCGCAACCCUUGGAUCUUAGUUGCCAGCAUUCAGUGGGCACUCU